Molecule: ribosomal RNA, 486 nt
Filed under: Salmonella enterica subsp. enterica serovar Lansing
Lineage: Bacteria; Pseudomonadati; Pseudomonadota; Gammaproteobacteria; Enterobacterales; Enterobacteriaceae
Description: bacterial SSU rRNA
Rfam family: Bacterial small subunit ribosomal RNA
Source: RNAcentral
UUGAACGCUGGCGGCAGGCCUAACACAUGCAAGUCGAACGGUAACAGGAAGCAGCUUGCUGCUUCGCUGACGAGUGGCGGACGGGUGAGUAAUGUCUGGGAAACUGCCUGAUGGAGGGGGAUAACUACUGGAAACGGUGGCUAAUACCGCAUAACGUCGCAAGACCAAAGAGGGGGACCUUCGGGCCUCUUGCCAUCAGAUGUGCCCAGAUGGGAUUAGCUWGUUGGUGAGGUAACGGCUCACCAAGGCGACGAUCCCUAGCUGGUCUGAGAGGAUGACCAGCCACACUGGAACUGAGACACGGUCCAGACUCCUACGGGAGGCAGCAGUGGGGAAUAUUGCACAAUGGGCGCAAGCCUGAUGCAGCCAUGCCGCGUGUAUGAAGAAGGCCUUMGGGUUGUAAAGUACUUUCAGCGGGGAGGAAGGUGUUGYGGUUAAUAACCGCAGCAAUUGACGUUACCCGCAGAAGAAGCACCGGCUAACUCC